This 1471-nucleotide ribosomal RNA is filed under the name Vibrio sp. Its description in RNAcentral is "bacterial SSU rRNA". It matches the Rfam family "Bacterial small subunit ribosomal RNA". Lineage: Bacteria; Pseudomonadati; Pseudomonadota; Gammaproteobacteria; Vibrionales; Vibrionaceae. The record is from RNAcentral.
GGGAAGUGGGGGCGGCCUUAACACAUGCAAGUCGAGCGGAAACGAGUUAUCUGAACCUUCGGGGAACGAUAACGGCGUCGAGCGGCGGACGGGUGAGUAAUGCCUAGGAAAUUGCCCUGAUGUGGGGGAUAACCAUUGGAAACGAUGGCUAAUACCGCAUGAUGCCUACGGGCCAAAGAGGGGGACCUUCGGGCCUCUCGCGUCAGGAUAUGCCUAGGUGGGAUUAGCUAGUUGGUGAGGUAAGGGCUCACCAAGGCGACGAUCCCUAGCUGGUCUGAGAGGAUGAUCAGCCACACUGGAACUGAGACACGGUCCAGACUCCUACGGGAGGCAGCAGUGGGGAAUAUUGCACAAUGGGCGCAAGCCUGAUGCAGCCAUGCCGCGUGUGUGAAGAAGGCCUUCGGGUUGUAAAGCACUUUCAGUCGUGAGGAAGGUGGUGUAGUUAAUAGCUGCAUUAUUUGACGUUAGCGACAGAAGAAGCACCGGCUAACUCCGUGCCAGCAGCCGCGGUAAUACGGAGGGUGCGAGCGUUAAUCGGAAUUACUGGGCGUAAAGCGCAUGCAGGUGGUUUGUUAAGUCAGAUGUGAAAGCCCGGGGCUCAACCUCGGAAUAGCAUUUGAAACUGGCAGACUAGAGUACUGUAGAGGGGGGGUAGAAUUUCAGGUGUAGCGGUGAAAUGCGUAGAGAUCUGAAGGAAUACCGGUGGCGAAAGGCGGCCCCCCUGGACAGAUACUGACACUCAGAUGCGAAAGCGUGGGGAGCAAACAGGAUUAGAUACCCUGGUAGUCCACGCCGUAAACGAUGUCUACUUGGAGGUUGUGGCCUUGAGCCGUGGCUUUCGGAGCUAACGCGUUAAGUAGACCGCCUGGGGAGUACGGUCGCAAGAUUAAAACUCAAAUGAAUUGACGGGGGCCCGCACAAGCGGUGGAGCAUGUGGUUUAAUUCGAUGCAACGCGAAGAACCUUACCUACUCUUGACAUCCAGAGAACUUUCCAGAGAUGGAUUGGUGCCUUCGGGAACUCUGAGACAGGUGCUGCAUGGCUGUCGUCAGCUCGUGUUGUGAAAUGUUGGGUUAAGUCCCGCAACGAGCGCAACCCUUAUCCUUGUUUGCCAGCGAGUAAUGUCGGGAACUCCAGGGAGACUGCCGGUGAUAAACCGGAGGAAGGUGGGGACGACGUCAAGUCAUCAUGGCCCUUACGAGUAGGGCUACACACGUGCUACAAUGGCGCAUACAGAGGGCGGCCAACUUGCGAAAGUGAGCGAAUCCCAAAAAGUGCGUCGUAGUCCGGAUUGGAGUCUGCAACUCGACUCCAUGAAGUCGGAAUCGCUAGUAAUCGUGGAUCAGAAUGCCACGGUGAAUACGUUCCCGGGCCUUGUACACACCGCCCGUCACACCAUGGGAGUGGGCUGCAAAAGAAGUAGGUAGUUUAACCUUCGGGGGGACGCUUACCACUUUGGGUUCCGAGGGGGG